RNAcentral lists this ribosomal RNA (262 nucleotides) under uncultured archaeon. Its description in RNAcentral is "partial 16S ribosomal RNA". It matches the Rfam family "Archaeal small subunit ribosomal RNA", at positions 748 to 1009 of the family's 1478-position model. The record is from RNAcentral.
UGGCCGUAAACGAUGUGGACUUGGUGUUGGAAUGGCUCCGAGCUGCUCCAGUGCCGAAGGGAAGCUGUUAAGUCCACCGCCUGGGAAGUACGGUCGCAAGACUGAAACUUAAAGGAAUUGGCGGGGGAGGCACCACAACGGGUGGAGCCUGCGGUUUAAUUGGACUCAACGCCGGGAAGCUCACCGGAUAAGACAGCGGAAUGAUUGCCGGGCUGAAGACCCUGCAUGACCAGCUGAGAGGAGGUGCAUGGCGUAGUCGUGU